RNA transcript from Chenopodium quinoa (quinoa), 1992 nucleotides. It is a transcript of the gene named flowering locus K homology domain-like, with no coding region annotated. The transcript is spliced from 9 exons. Lineage: Eukaryota; Viridiplantae; Streptophyta; Magnoliopsida; Caryophyllales; Amaranthaceae. The record is from RefSeq and is a predicted model, not a curated record.
GAGCUUAGCCAUCCAGAAUUGAUCAUCAAAUCUGAAUUAGCUCAAAAAGUAAAUUGGGUAAAACACCAAAAUAAAAAUGACUUACUAAACUUAAAUCAAACCACACCCAAUCCGACAUAACCGAACCCGACUCGCCUUAACACCUUGGUUACCCCCCCUUCAUUAACCAACACUCCGUAUAUAAAUAGCCUUUCUUGCUUCAUCUCCUUGCUACAAAAAUAAUUGAACAAUGGCGCAACAAGGACAAUACGCAUCGAUCCCCAGCCUCCAACCAUACACACAACACCAUCAAUACAUCCCACCACCACAUCCACCGCUUCAACCACCGCACCCCUCCCACCACCAACCCUUAAACAUCCCUUACCACCACCAAUACCACCCUCACCACCACCCUUCUCAUCAAUACCCCGAUUAUGGCUCUGUUCCUCAGCUUCAACACAUGCCUUUACCCCCAAUUCAAUACCCUUCUUACCCUCAACCCCAUUACUCUGAUCGGCCGUCUUCGAAACGUCCCCGAGAACCCGUUUCGGAUUUGGCUGAGGUUCCUUCCACGAAACGCCAAGCUUUGGGGAAUGAUAUUUUGUUUAGGGUUGUUGUUCCUUCUGGUCAAAUUGGGAAGGUUAUUGGGAAAGGUGGUCAUAGGGUUCAGAAGAUUAGGGAUGAUACUAAGGCUACUAUCAAAAUUGCUGAUCCUAUUGCUCGAUACGAGGAACGUGUUAUAAUUGUUAGUUCUAGAGAGAAUGAAGCUGGUGGUAUCAGUGAUGCGGAGAAGGCUUUGCUUCAGAUUGCUUCUCUCAUCCUUGCGGAUGAUGGAAGCAGUGCACCUGCACUAAGCAUUGCUGCUGCAACUGAUCCUUAUGCUGCUGCUGCUGGCAUCAGCGGAGGACAUGCAACCACAAAUUCAGUAAAGCUAUUAAUAGCUGGUUCACAAGCUGGUGGCUUAAUAGGAGUGUCAGGUCAGAACAUUGAAAAGCUUAGAAACUCUUCUGGUGCCACAAUUGCUGUUCUGGCGCCAAAUCAAUUGCCUCUGUGUGCAUCUGCUCAUGAAUCUGAUCGCUUGGUCCAGAUAUCAGGUGAAGUUUCUGCUGUAAUGAAAGCCGUGGAGGAGAUUGGUGUUGAACUUAGGCAAAACCCACCCAAGCAAGUAAUUUCAAUCAGCCCAACAUACAACUUGAGCAUUGCUCGAGCAGCUCAGAAUUAUAUGGACCCAAAUGCUGCUGAAUAUGUGACAUUGGAUAUGGUGAUCUCGGAAACAAUGGUGGGUGGCUUGAUUGGCAGAGCUGGUUCCAACAUAUCAAGGAUUAGAACUGAAUCUGGUGCAAUGAUUAAGGUAUUUGGGGGAAAAGGUGAGCAGAAACAUAGGCAGCUCCAGCUUAUUGGCUCAGCUCAGCAGGUAGCCUUGGCGAAACAGAGAGUUGAUGAAUACAUAUAUUCUCAGUUGACACAACAAACUGGUGCUGAGCAGUCAGUGUAAAUGUUCAUCCUUAUCACUCUUUUAUCAUCUGCCACUACUUUACGCUUUAAGAUUGCCACAGUGAAAGAGAUAAAGUUUGCCGCAUGCGUACUCUUGCGCUUCUUGUCAAUGUAUCUAUUGGUUUAAAUAUGACCUACAACUUUUACUUUGAAGAGCAAGCAAACCGGAUCACAUUCAAGCCAUGCAUAAACUUAAUCGUUGACAUUUCCCUGGUUUAGAUCUGUACUUUUGAGUUAGGUCUUUACUUUCAAUGAUAAACGCCAGGAGACUCCUCAGACUAGCAUAGUUGACAUAUUGAUUGUUACAUGAACAUUAUCUUGUAUUAGACCUGGUGUAGUGGUGUGUGUAGACGCAUUCUUUUGGAUACAGUAUUGUAUAACAUACUCUCAGUUUUGACUAUGGAAGUUUCUAUGUGUAAAUUCAUGAGCAGAUUUUAGUUUAUUAACGCUGUUAUGUCUUGGAAAUACUCUUUGGAAAGUUUUAUUGCCAUAGGCCAAUAACCCAGCAUUUUUUCUUUA